This 497-nucleotide ribosomal RNA is filed under the name uncultured bacterium. RNAcentral describes it as "partial 16S ribosomal RNA". It matches the Rfam family "Bacterial small subunit ribosomal RNA", at positions 28 to 507 of the family's 1533-position model. The record is from RNAcentral.
GAUGAACGCUGGCGGCGUGCCUAAUACAUGCAAGUCGAGCGAACAGAUGAGGAUCUUGCUCCUCUGACGUUAGCGGCGGACGGGUGAGUAACACGUGGAUAACCUACCUAUAAGACUGAGGUAACUUCGGGGAACCGGAGCUAAUACCGGAUAAUAUAUUGAACCGCAGGGUUCAAUAGUGAAAGACGGUUUUGCUGUCACUAAUAGAUGGAUCCGCGUCGGAUUAGCUAGUUGGUAAGGUAACGGCCUACCAAGGCGACGAUGCGUAGCUGACCGGAGAGGAGGAUCGGGCACACUGGAACUGAGACACGGUCCAGACUCCUACGGGAGGCAGCAGUGGGGAAUAUUGGACAAUGGGCGAAAGCCUGAUCCAGCCAUGCCGCGUGUGUGAAGAAGGUCUUCGGAUUGUAAAGCACUUUAAGUUGGGAGGAAGGGCAGUGAGUUAACACCUUGCUGUUUUGACGUUACCAACAGAAUAAGCACCGGCUAACUUCGUG